CAGUCGAACGGACUCAUAUUGAAACCUAGUGAUUUAUGAGUUAGUGGCGGACGGGUGAGUAACGCGUGGAUAACCUGCCGUAUACCGGGGGAUAACACUUAGAAAUAGGUGCUAAUACCGCAUAAGCGCACGGCUCCGCAUGGGGCAGUGUGAAAAACUCCGGUGGUAUACGAUGGAUCCGCGUCUGAUUAGCUAGUUGGCGGGGUAACGGCCCACCAAGGCAGCGAUCAGUAGCCGGCCUGAGAGGGUGGACGGCCACAUUGGGACUGAGACACGGCCCAAACUCCUACGGGAGGCAGCAGUGGGGAAUAUUGCACAAUGGGGGAAACCCUGAUGCAGCGACGCCGCGUGAGUGAAGAAGUAUCUCGGUACGUAAAGCUCUAUCAGCAGGGAAGAAAAUGACGGUACCUGACUAAGAAGCCCCGGCUAACUACGUGCCAGCAGCCGCGGUAAUACGUAGGGGGCAAGCGUUAUCCGGAUUUACUGGGUGUAAAGGGAGCGUAGACGGCAGCACAAGUCUGGAGUGAAAUCCCGGGGCUUAACCCCGGAACUGCUUUGGAAACUGUGCGGCUGGAGUGCAGGAGGGGUAAGCGGAAUUCCUAGUGUAGCGGUGAAAUGCGUAGAUAUUAGGAGGAACACCGGUGGCGAAGGCGGCUUACUGGACUGUAACUGACGUUGAGGCUCGAAAGCGUGGGGAGCAAACAGGAUUAGAUACCCUGGUAGUCCACGCCGUAAACGAUGAUUACUAGGUGUCGGGGGAUCAAGGUCCUCCGGUGCCGGCGCAAACGCAUUAAGUAAUCCACCCGGGG
RNAcentral lists this ribosomal RNA (809 nucleotides) under uncultured bacterium. RNAcentral's name for it is "bacterial SSU rRNA". It matches the Rfam family "Bacterial small subunit ribosomal RNA", at positions 59 to 878 of the family's 1533-position model. The record is from RNAcentral.